RNAcentral lists this transfer RNA (117 nucleotides) under Dictyostelium discoideum. RNAcentral's name for it is "tRNA-Ser". The stretch from base 41 to 117 matches the Rfam family "tRNA". From Rfam's summary of the family: Transfer RNA (tRNA) molecules are approximately 80 nucleotides in length. Their secondary structure includes four short double-helical elements and three loops (D, anti-codon, and T loops). The record is from RNAcentral. Lineage: Eukaryota; Evosea; Eumycetozoa; Dictyosteliales; Dictyosteliaceae.
GACACCUUUAGGAAAGUGUAUCUCCCAUUUUAUUUUCGAUGACACCUUAGCAAAGUGGUUAAUGCGGCGCCCUGCUAAGGCGUUCUCUUCGGAGGCGCAGGUUCGAACCCUGCAGGU